AAAAAAUCCGCUUAAAAAAAAAAAAAAACCUUUCUCUCUCUCUCUCAAAAUGGCCAUAUUUGAGAAAAAAAAUGUAGUAGUUUGAAUCACUGGAUAUAGCUGUCGAUCAUUUAAUAUUCAUAUUGUAAAAUGUUAAAAGUUAAUAUUAACUAAAAUUAAAUGAUUUGCGCGCAGCGGUCGCGCGCGCAUCUGUAGACUAGCGCAAGUUAAUUCUCACAUUAUAAUAGUGUUUAAUAGCUCCUAACAGGCUGUGUGACUAUGAGAAGUUAUUACCUCAAAAUGUACGUCAGUAUGCAGUUUUCCGCUCGCGUGCCGAGACAGGGGUAGCUGCAGCCUGGAGCAAUGGGCGUGCCGAGAGGUCUCUCAUUGGUGAAAGGAGUUUUACUGUUUUGGCCAAUCAGCGGUAAAUACACAUUUACGUAAUUUCCUUUAGACAAGAGAAGGUAGCGGCGAUAAGACGUGGUGUAAUUAUUCAUCAUACGUUUAUCUAUACUUUAUAUACCACAAAUAUGAAUAUUAAGAUAGCUUGUUACAAUACGAUCAUAAUUUUUCCUUUGCGUUAUAUCUGGCAGCUUUAGUAAUUAGUUUAUUGUUGUUGACAGACAUACUGUAUGUACAGUGAGACAAAACGAUGAGCGCAUCUGCAUCGAAGCUCUCAGAGCUGAUAGUUUAUAUCUGCGUCCUUUUUGUGCAAUACAGUACAGAAUACAUCCUGUGUCCAACUAAUGCAGAAUAUAUUCAAGUAUCCAACUCACUGAUUGUGAAGAACCCUUUCCAGAGAAAUAUAAAGGAAAUGACUGUAAGUUGCAUUGUUUUUAAUUCAUUGAUUUAUCUCUAUCAACAUAAUCAUACACGAUAUUGUAGUAACAAUAUAUUGUAAUCUUUAUUUGCUGGAAAAUGACAAUCAAUCAAAUUUGUGUUUUUAGCACACCUGACACAUCCCUAAACCGGUAAUUUAAAGCAGAACGUGCACCACUUGCAGGUUAUUGUAGCACAUGUAAGAUCACUGCCAUAUGCAUAAUUUAUUUUUGCACUGUUAAUCAAUUUUACAUUUUCACUUCAAUGUAAGGAAGAUACUGUACUACAGAUAUUUAAAUCUUUUUUUGUACAUACUCCACUUUUUCACUGCCUGACCAUCAUCUUAAUGUUUAUGCAGUUCAAUGUUUUUAUUAUUUUUUAUAUCUAAAGCACCUUGUUCAAUAAGUAUUUAGAUGUUUCUCAUAUCUGUCAGGGUCUAAGCAUGAUCUGUUUCUGUUGUUCUGAUGAAGGAAACUUGUGUUGGGGAGGAUUCAGU
Molecule: long non-coding RNA, 1294 nt
Organism: Cyprinus carpio (common carp)
Lineage: Eukaryota; Metazoa; Chordata; Actinopteri; Cypriniformes; Cyprinidae
Source: Ensembl